This 450-nucleotide ribosomal RNA is filed under the name Halodesulfovibrio oceani. RNAcentral's name for it is "bacterial SSU rRNA". It matches the Rfam family "Bacterial small subunit ribosomal RNA", at positions 94 to 536 of the family's 1533-position model. Lineage: Bacteria; Pseudomonadati; Thermodesulfobacteriota; Desulfovibrionia; Desulfovibrionales; Desulfovibrionaceae. The record is from RNAcentral.
AGUGGCGCACGGGUGAGUAACGCGUGGAUUAUCUACCUACUGGUACGGGACAACAGUUGGAAACGACUGCUAAUACCGUAUACGCUGGUAACGGGAAAGGGGGCCUCUUCUUGAAAGCUCUCGCCAGUAGAUGAGUCCGCGUUUCAUUAGCUAGACGGUGGGGUAACGGCCUACCGUGGCAACGAUGAAUAGCAGGCCUGAGAGGGUGGCCUGCCACACUGGGACUGGAACACGGCCCAGACUCCUACGGGAGGCAGCAGUGGGGAAUAUUGCGCAAUGGACGAAAGUCUGACGCAGCGACGCCGCGUGGAGGAUGAAGGUUUUCGGAUCGUAAACUCCUGUCAAGAGGGAAGAAACCUAUCAAAACUAAUACUUUUGGUAAUUGACGGUACCUCUAGAGGAAGCACCGGCUAAUUCAGUGCCAGCAGCCGCGGUAAUACUGAAGGUGCA